This is a long non-coding RNA of Anguilla rostrata (American eel), 562 nucleotides long. RefSeq lists it as uncharacterized. The record is from RefSeq and is a predicted model, not a curated record. The transcript has 2 exons. NCBI's taxonomy places the organism in Eukaryota, Metazoa, Chordata, Actinopteri, Anguilliformes, Anguillidae.
ACAUGAAAUUAAAUCAUGAAUUGCCAAUUCUGAUCAUUCUCCAGACAUAGAUGAGUUUGAAAGCUUUUGAGAAUGUUCACAAACUUCCUUUUUGUGCUUCUUUUUUUCUGUCAUUUUCUAAUUUGCUAUUUUAGUGAACUGUUGCUGAUGGGGAAGGAGAUAUUAGUCAAGCUCAAAAUGGAAUAAGGAAGUUGUCUGAUCUGUAGACCUGAGCUGACUGAAACAUGUCACAAAUCAAGCUUGCUUUAUGUCAAAGAGGCAAGAGUACGUGAACAACUGAUUUUUGGAAUAUUCAAGACCAAACUGGACAUGGUUCACCCUAGAUGCAGCGUUCCUCCAUGACAGGGUGAUGUAAACCGACUGACAGAACUCAACACGACCGUCACUCCAACUCAACAUAACUCAAUCAUCUGAACACCCUGGAUCAGCUCAGGACGCGACUGAAGGGCUCGUGAGGAAGGCAUCACACAGCUAUGGAGCUGCGGCACUUGCUUUUGCGCCAUUCUUCAUCUAUUAACAUGGGCCUCAGCUCAAGUGUGAAAUAAAUUACAUUUUCAAAAUA